This 235-nucleotide ribosomal RNA is filed under the name uncultured bacterium. RNAcentral describes it as "partial 16S ribosomal RNA". It matches the Rfam family "Bacterial small subunit ribosomal RNA", at positions 524 to 757 of the family's 1533-position model. The record is from RNAcentral.
UACGUAGGGUGCAAGCGUUUAAUCGGAAUUACUGGGCGUAAAGCGUGCGCAGGCGGUUUUGUAAGUCUGUUGUGAAAUCCCCGGGCUUAACCUGGGAAUUGCAAUGGAGACUGCAAGGCUGGAGUCUGGCAGAGGGGGGUAGAAUUCCACGUGUAGCAGUGAAAUGCGUAGAGAUGUGGAGGAACACCGAUGGCGAAGGCAGCCCCCUGGGUCAAGACUGACGCUCAUGCACGAA